UCCUUUGCAGACGACUUAAAUAC
RNAcentral lists this small nuclear RNA (23 nucleotides) under Arabidopsis thaliana (thale cress). RNAcentral's name for it is "snRNA_03281". Lineage: Eukaryota; Viridiplantae; Streptophyta; Magnoliopsida; Brassicales; Brassicaceae. The record is from RNAcentral.